This 382-nucleotide ribosomal RNA is filed under the name uncultured bacterium. Its description in RNAcentral is "bacterial SSU rRNA". It matches the Rfam family "Bacterial small subunit ribosomal RNA", at positions 28 to 412 of the family's 1533-position model. The record is from RNAcentral.
GACGAACGCUGGCGGCGUGCUUAACACAUGCAAGUCGAGCGGUAAGGCCCUUUCGGGGGUACACGAGCGGCGAACGGGUGAGUAACACGUGGGUGACCUGCCCUCAGCUCUGGGAUAAGCCUGGGAAACUGGGUCUAAUACUGGAUAUGACUCCACGGUGCAUGUCGUGGGGUGGAAAGCCUUGUGCGGCUGAGGAUGGGCCCGCGGCCUAUCAGCUUGUUGGUGGGGUGAUGGCCUACCAAGGCGACGACGGUAGCCGGCCUGAGAGGGCGACCGGCCACACUGGGACUGAGACACGGCCCAGACUCCUACGGGAGGCAGCAGUGGGGAAUCUUGCGCAAUGGGCGAAAGCCUGACGCAGCGACGCCGCGUGAGGGAUGAC